AUUGGAGGAUCAAGAAGGCUGAGUCUGAUGAAGCAAGACUUUGCUGAUACAGUCCUCCUAGAAAAAGGGGUGGAGAGAGCAGCCCUUAUUGGAAAAAAUCACAGGGCUGACUGUGCUACCCAACAUUU
Non-coding RNA from Acomys russatus (golden spiny mouse), 128 nucleotides. RefSeq annotates it as small Cajal body-specific RNA 4. NCBI's taxonomy places the organism in Eukaryota, Metazoa, Chordata, Mammalia, Rodentia, Muridae. The transcript has a single exon. The record is from RefSeq and is a predicted model, not a curated record.